CGGGGUGAGUAACGCGUGGAUAACCUGCCUCACACUGGGGGAUAACAGUUAGAAAUGACUGCUAAUACCGCAUAAGCGCACAGUACCGCAUGGUACAGUGUGAAAAACUCCGGUGGUGUGAGAUGGAUCCGCGUCUGAUUAGCCAGUUGGCGGGGUAACGGCCCACCAAAGCGACGAUCAGUAGCCGACCUGAGAGGGUGACCGGCCACAUUGGGGCUGAGACACGGCCCAA
This 232-nucleotide ribosomal RNA is filed under the name uncultured bacterium. RNAcentral's name for it is "partial 16S ribosomal RNA". It matches the Rfam family "Bacterial small subunit ribosomal RNA", at positions 104 to 334 of the family's 1533-position model. The record is from RNAcentral.